Molecule: ribosomal RNA, 253 nt
Filed under: uncultured bacterium
Lineage: Bacteria
Description: partial 16S ribosomal RNA
Rfam family: Bacterial small subunit ribosomal RNA
Source: RNAcentral
GACGUAGGGCGCGAGCGUUGUCCGGAUUUAUUGGGCGUAAAGAGCUCGUAGGCGGCUCGUUGCGUCAAUCGUGAAAGCCCGGAGCUCAACUCCGGGAUUGCCUUGGAUACGGGAUGACUUGAGGAUCGGAGAGGCAAGGGGAAUUCCACGUGUAGCGGUGAAAUGCGUAGAGAUGUGGAGGAACACCUGUGGCGAAGGCGCCUUGCUGGCCGAUUUCUGACGCUGAGGCGCGAAAGCGUGGGGAGCAAACAGG